CAGCAGCCGCGGGAAUACAGAGGGUGCGAGCGUUAAUCGGAUUUACUGGGCGUAAAGCGUGCGUAGGCGGCUAAUUGAGUCGGAUGUGAAAUCCCCGAGCUUAACUUGGGAAUUGCAUUCGAUACUGGUUAGCUAGAGUAUGGGAGAGGAUGGUAGAAUUCCAGGUGUAGCGGUGAAAUGCGUAGAGAUCUGGAGGAAUACCGAUGGCGAAGGCAGCCAUCUGGCCUAAUACUGACGCUGAGGUACGAAAGCAUGGGGAGCAAACAGGAUUAGAGACCCGCGUAGUCCCUGUCUCUUAUAC
RNAcentral lists this ribosomal RNA (301 nucleotides) under uncultured bacterium. RNAcentral describes it as "partial 16S ribosomal RNA". It matches the Rfam family "Bacterial small subunit ribosomal RNA", at positions 509 to 807 of the family's 1533-position model. The record is from RNAcentral.